UACAGAGGGGGCAAGCGUUGUUCGGAAUUACUGGGCGUAAAGGGCGCGUAGGCGGCCUUCUAAGUCGAACGUGAAAUCCCCGGGCUCAACCCGGGAACUGCGUCCGAGACUGGAAGGCUUGAAUCCGGGAGAGGGAUGUGGAAUUCCAGGUGUAGCGGUGAAAUGCGUAGAUAUCUGGAGGAACAUCGGUGGCGAAGGCGGCAUCCUGGACCGGUAUUGACGCUGAGGCGCGAAAGCCAGGGGAGAAAAAGGG
Molecule: ribosomal RNA, 253 nt
Filed under: uncultured bacterium
Lineage: Bacteria
Description: partial 16S ribosomal RNA
Rfam family: Bacterial small subunit ribosomal RNA
Source: RNAcentral